RNAcentral lists this ribosomal RNA (1372 nucleotides) under uncultured bacterium. Its description in RNAcentral is "bacterial SSU rRNA". It matches the Rfam family "Bacterial small subunit ribosomal RNA", at positions 28 to 1381 of the family's 1533-position model. The record is from RNAcentral.
GAUGAACGCUGGCGGCGUGCCUAAUACAUGCAAGUCGAGCGAACGGACGAGAAGCUUGCUUCUCUGAUGUUAGCGGCGGACGGGUGAGUAACACGUGGAUAACCUACCUAUAAGACUGGGAUAACUUCGGGAAACCGGAGCUAAUACCGGAUAAUAUUUUGAACCGCAUGGUUCAAAAGUGAAAGACGGUCUUGCUGUCACUUAUAGAUGGAUCCGCGCUGCAUUAGCUAGUUGGUAAGGUAACGGCUUACCAAGGCAACGAUGCAUAGCCGACCUGAGAGGGUGAUCGGCCACACUGGAACUGAGACACGGUCCAGACUCCUACGGGAGGCAGCAGUAGGGAAUCUUCCGCAAUGGGCGAAAGCCUGACGGAGCAACGCCGCGUGAGUGAUGAAGGUCUUCGGAUCGUAAAACUCUGUUAUUAGGGAAGAAUAUAUGUGUAAGUAACUGUGCACAUCUUGACGGUACCUAAUCAGAAAGCCACGGCUAACUACGUGCCAGCAGCCGCGGUAAUACGUAGGUGGCAAGCGUUAUCCGGAAUUAUUGGGCGUAAAGCGCGCGUAGGCGGUUUUUUAAGUCUGAUGUGAAAGCCCACGGCUCAACCGUGGAGGGUCAUUGGAAACUGGAAAACUUGAGUGCAGAAGAGGAAAGUGGAAUUCCAUGUGUAGCGGUGAAAUGCGCAGAGAUAUGGAGGAACACCAGUGGCGAAGGCGACUUUCUGGUCUGUAACUGACGCUGAUGUGCGAAAGCGUGGGGAUCAAACAGGAUUAGAUACCCUGGUAGUCCACGCCGUAAACGAUGAGUGCUAAGUGUUAGGGGGUUUCCGCCCCUUAGUGCUGCAGCUAACGCAUUAAGCACUCCGCCUGGGGAGUACGACCGCAAGGUUGAAACUCAAAGGAAUUGACGGGGACCCGCACAAGCGGUGGAGCAUGUGGUUUAAUUCGAAGCAACGCGAAGAACCUUACCAAAUCUUGACAUCCUUUGACAACUCUAGAGAUAGAGCCUUCCCCUUCGGGGGACAAAGUGACAGGUGGUGCAUGGUUGUCGUCAGCUCGUGUCGUGAGAUGUUGGGUUAAGUCCCGCAACGAGCGCAACCCUUAAGCUUAGUUGCCAUCAUUAAGUUGGGCACUCUAAGUUGACUGCCGGUGACAAACCGGAGGAAGGUGGGGAUGACGCCAAAUCAUCAUGCCCCUUAUGAUUUGGGCUACACACGUGCUACAAUGGACAAUACAAAGGGCAGCGAAACCGCGAGGUCAAGCAAAUCCCAUAAAGUUGUUCUCAGUUCGGAUUGUAGUCUGCAACUCGACUACAUGAAGCUGGAAUCGCUAGUAAUCGUAGAUCAGCAUGCUACGGUGAAUACGUUCCCGGGUCU